CAGAUAAGGAGCUUGCUCCUUUGACGUUAGCGGCGGACGGGUGAGUAACACGUGGGUAACCUACCUAUAAGACUGGGAUAACUUCGGGAAACCGGAGCUAAUACCGGAUAACAUUUGGAACCGCAUGGUUCUAAAGUGAAAGAUGGUUUUGCUAUCACUUAUAGAUGGACCCGCGCCGUAUUAGCUAGUUGGUAAGGUAACGGCUUACCAAGGCGACGAUACGUAGCCGACCUGAGAGGGUGAUCGGCCACACUGGAACUGAGACACGGUCCAGACUCCUACGGGAGGCAGCAGUAGGGAAUCUUCCGCAAUGGGCGAAAGCCUGACGGAGCAACGCCGCGUGAGUGAUGAAGGGUUUCGGCUCGUAAAACUCUGUUAUUAGGGAAGAACAAAUGUGUAAGUAACUGUGCACAUCUUGACGGUACCUAAUCAGAAAGCCACGGCUAACUACGUGCCAGCAGCCGCGGUAAUACGUAGGUGGCAAGCGUUAUCCGGAAUUAUUGGGCGUAAAGCGCGCGUAGGCGGUUUCUUAAGUCUGAUGUGAAAGCCCACGGCUCAACCGUGGAGGGUCAUUGGAAACUGGGAAACUUGAGUGCAGAAGAGGAAAGUGGAAUUCCAUGUGUAGCGGUGAAAUGCGCAGAGAUAUGGAGGAACACCAGUGGCGAAGGCGACUUUCUGGUCUGUAACUGACGCUGAUGUGCGAAAGCGUGGGGAUCAAACAGGAUUAGAUACCCUGGUAGUCCACGCCGUAAACGAUGAGUGCUAAGUGUUAGGGGGUUUCCGCCCCUUAGUGCUGCAGCUAACGCAUUAAGCACUCCGCCUGGGGAGUACGACCGCAAGGUUGAAACUCAAAGGAAUUGACGGGGACCCGCACAAGCGGUGGAGCAUGUGGUUUAAUUCGAAGCAACGCGAAGAACCUUACCAAAUCUUGACAUCCUUUGAAAACUCUAGAGAUAGAGCCUUCCCCUUCGGGGGACAAAGUGACAGGUGGUGCAUGGUUGUCGUCAGCUCGUGUCGUGAGAUGUUGGGUUAAGUCCCGCAACGAGCGCAACCCUUAAGCUUAGUUGCCAUCAUUAAGUUGGGCACUCUAGGUUGACUGCCGGUGACAAACCGGAGGAAGGUGGGGAUGACGUCAAAUCAUCAUGCCCCUUAUGAUUUGGGCUACACACGUGCUACAAUGGACAAUACAAAGGGCAGCUAAACCGCGAGGUCAUGCAAAUCCCAUAAAGUUGUUCUCAGUUCGGAUUGUAGUCUGCAACUCGACUACAUGAAGCUGGAAUCGCUAGUAAUCGUAGAUCAGCAUGCUACGGUGAAUACGUUCCCGGGUCUUGUACACACCGCCCGUCACACCACGAGAGUUUGUAACACCCGAA
Molecule: ribosomal RNA, 1373 nt
Filed under: Staphylococcus pseudoxylosus
Lineage: Bacteria; Bacillati; Bacillota; Bacilli; Caryophanales; Staphylococcaceae
Description: bacterial SSU rRNA
Rfam family: Bacterial small subunit ribosomal RNA
Source: RNAcentral